RNAcentral lists this ribosomal RNA (620 nucleotides) under uncultured bacterium. RNAcentral's name for it is "bacterial SSU rRNA". It matches the Rfam family "Bacterial small subunit ribosomal RNA", at positions 338 to 949 of the family's 1533-position model. The record is from RNAcentral.
CCUACGGGAGGCAGCAGUAGGGAAUCUUCCGCAAUGGACGAAAGUCUGACGGAGCAACGCCGCGUGAACGAUGAAGGCCUUCGGGUCGUAAAGUUCUGUUGUUAGGGAAGAACAAGUGCUAGUUAAAUAAGCUGGCACCUUGACGGUACCUAACCAGAAAGCCACGGCUAACUACGUGCCAGCAGCCGCGGUAAUACGUAGGUGGCAAGCGUUGUCCGGAAUUAUUGGGCGUAAAGCGCGCGCAGGCGGUUUCUUAAGUCUGAUGUGAAAGCCCCCGGCUCAACCGGGGAGGGUCAUUGGAAACUGGGAAACUUGAGUGCAGAAGAGGAAAGUGGAAUUCCAAGUGUAGCGGUGAAAUGCGUAGAGAUUUGGAGGAACACCAGUGGCGAAGGCGACUUUCUGGUCUGUAACUGACGCUGAGGCGCGAAAGCGUGGGGAGCAAACAGGAUUAGAUACCCUGGUAGUCCACGCUGUAAACGAUGAGUGCUAAGUGUUAGAGGGUUUUCCGCCCUUUAGUGCUGAGGUUAACGCAUUAAGCACUCCGCCUGGGGANCGGUCGCAAGACUGAACUCAAAGGAUUGACGGCUGAGACGCGCGACGCGACGACGAGGGAGGUUAGG